Non-coding RNA from Arachis ipaensis, 387 nucleotides. NCBI's taxonomy places the organism in Eukaryota, Viridiplantae, Streptophyta, Magnoliopsida, Fabales, Fabaceae. The record is from RefSeq and is a predicted model, not a curated record.
GCUUAUGACUCAUCUUCCUGAAUCCCAAAUACAAUCUGAAUUCACUUUGCUACUGCAAUGUAUAGGUAGAAGGUCGUGAGAGGUGACGAUGGUUAAUCUACGAGCCAAAGAAGCUGCAGCACGCCCUCAGCACUAAGCUUAGAGGGAUUGGAUCAAGAGAGAAAUUCCAUCACCAUAAAAAUUAGGAAGUAAGUCUUCUGGAGCGAGCAACAAGGAAGCAUGACCUUGCAUGAUAAAAAUUUAAUGUAUUAAGGAUUAUAUGUUAAGACAUAUUAUUGAAAAAUUUUACUUUGAUACUUUAUUUUUGGAUUAUGAAUUUUCAAUUAUGACUUGGAUUAUGACUUUUGGAUCAUAUAUGAAUUAAAAAUCAUCUUAUCAUGUUUGAUU